RNAcentral lists this ribosomal RNA (407 nucleotides) under uncultured bacterium. RNAcentral describes it as "bacterial SSU rRNA". It matches the Rfam family "Bacterial small subunit ribosomal RNA", at positions 355 to 774 of the family's 1533-position model. The record is from RNAcentral.
UGGGGAAUAUUGCACAAUGGGCGCAAGCCUGAUGCAGCGACGCCGCGUGAGGGACGACGGCCUUCGGGUUGUAAACCUCUUUUGGCAGGGAAGAAGCGAAAGUGACGGUACCUGCAGAAAAAGCACCGGCUAACUACGUGCCAGCAGCCGCGGUGAUACGUAGGGUGCAAGCGUUGUCCGGAAUUAUUGGGCGUAAAGAGCUCGUAGGCGGUUGGUCGCGUCUGCUGUGAAAACCCGAGGCUCAACCUCGGGCCUGCAGUGGGUACGGGCAAACUAGAGUGCGGUAGGGGAGAUUGGAAUUCCUGGUGUAGCGGUGGAAUGCGCAGAUAUCAGGAGGAACACCGAUGGCGAAGGCAGAUCUCUGGGCCGUAACUGACGCUGAGGAGCGAAAGCAUGGGGAGCGAACA